Molecule: ribosomal RNA, 320 nt
Filed under: uncultured bacterium
Lineage: Bacteria
Description: bacterial SSU rRNA
Rfam family: Bacterial small subunit ribosomal RNA
Source: RNAcentral
UGACGGUACCUGACUAAGAAGCCCCGGCUAACUACGUGCCAGCAGCCGCGGUAAUACGUAGGGGGCAAGCGUUAUCCGGAUUUACUGGGUGUAAAGGGAGCGUAGACGGAGAAGCAAGUCUGAUGUGAAAGGCAUGGGCUCAACCUGUGGACUGCAUUGGAAACUGUUUUUCUUGAGUGCCGGAGGGGUAAGCGGAAUUCCUAGUGUAGCGGUGAAAUGCGUAGAUAUUAGGAGGAACACCAGUGGCGAAGGCGGCUUACUGGACGAUAACUGACGUUGAGGCUCGAAAGCGUGGGGAGCAAACAGGAUUAGAUACCCUG